GAUAUCCUCGAGCGGAACUGAGAGCUCCGCGGAGAAGUCUGAAGCUGAAUUGCUGUAACUGCCGGAGAAAAAUGGGUCAGAAUCAGGCAAGGGAUCGUUCCAAAUGCUUGGAAAAUCAUUACAAUCAACAGCGUCAACGCCACCACACACAUUCUCUGGGGAAAACUCAAUCAAAUCUUCCAUAUGAUCAAAGAAGCUGCUACAAUCUAUCUCAUCAACGAAAUCCGAACCCAUGCUAAAUACUCUUCUUUUUUAUACUAAACUAAACCUUCUACCUCUUAAGUAAUGCAGAAAAAAAAGUUGGUCAAAUUCUCCAAAUUUGUC
Molecule: unclassified non-coding RNA, 324 nt
Filed under: Hevea brasiliensis (rubber tree)
Lineage: Eukaryota; Viridiplantae; Streptophyta; Magnoliopsida; Malpighiales; Euphorbiaceae
Source: RNAcentral